CCCGCUGAACUUAAGCAUAUCAAUAAGCGGAGGAAAAGAAACUAACAAGGAUUCCCCUAGUAACUGCGAGUGAAGCGGGAAAAGCUCAAAUUUAAAAUCUGGCAGUCUUUGGCUGUCCGAGUUGUAAUCUAUAGAAGUGUUAUCCGCGCUGGACCAUGUACAAGUCUCCUGGAAUGGAGCGUCAUAGAGGGUGAGAAUCCCGUCUUUGACAUGGACUACCAGGGCUUUUGUGAUGCGCCCUCAAAGAGUCGAGUUGUUUGGGAAUGCAGCUCAAAAUGGGUGGUAAAUUCCAUCUAAAGCUAAAUAUUGGCGAGAGACCGAUAGCGAACAAGUACCGUGAGGGAAAGAUGAAAAGAACUUUGGAAAGAGAGUUAAACAGUACGUGAAAUUGCUGAAAGGGAAACGCUUGAAGUCAGUCGCGUUGUCCAGGGAUCAACCUUGCUUUUGCUUGGUGCACUUUCUGGUUGACGGGUCAGCAUCAAUUUUGACUGUUGGAAAAAGAUAAGGGGAAUGUGGCAUCCUUGGAUGUGUUAUAGCCCUUUGUUGUAUACAAUGGUUGGGAUUGAGGAACUCAGCACGCCGCAAGGCCGGGUUUUUAUUUAAACCACGUUAACGUGCUUAGGAUGCUGGCAUAAUGGCUUUAAUCGACCCGUCUUGAAACACGG
This 665-nucleotide ribosomal RNA is filed under the name uncultured fungus. RNAcentral's name for it is "eukaryotic LSU rRNA". It matches the Rfam family "Eukaryotic large subunit ribosomal RNA", at positions 24 to 664 of the family's 3401-position model. The record is from RNAcentral. Lineage: Eukaryota; Fungi.